Molecule: ribosomal RNA, 515 nt
Filed under: uncultured microorganism
Description: bacterial SSU rRNA
Rfam family: Bacterial small subunit ribosomal RNA
Source: RNAcentral
GAGUUUGAUCUUGGCUCAGGAUGAACGCUGGCGGCGUGCUUAACACAUGCAAGUCGAACGGAGAUUAUACGCAGAGGCGAUUUCGGUCAAAUCAUGUAAAAUCUUAGUGGCGGACGGGUGAGUAACGCGUGGGUAACCUGCCUUACACUGGGGGAUAACACUUAGAAAUAGGUGCUAAUACCGCAUAAGCGCACGAAGCCGCAUGGAUUUGUGUGAAAAACUCCGGUGGUGUAAGAUGGACCCGCGUCUGAUUAGCUUGUUGGCGGGGUAACGGCCCACCAAGGCGACGAUCAGUAGCCGGCCUGAGAGGGUGGACGGCCACAUUGGGACUGAGACACGGCCCAAACUCCUACGGGAGGCAGCAGUGGGGGAUAUUGGACAAUGGGGGGAACCCUGAUCCAGCGACGCCGCGUGAGUGAAGAAGUAUUUCGGUAUGUAAAGCUCUGUCAGCAGGGAAGAAAGAAUGACGGUACCUGACCAAGAAGCCCGGCUAACUACGUGCCAGCAGCCGCGGU